This 497-nucleotide ribosomal RNA is filed under the name uncultured bacterium. RNAcentral describes it as "partial 16S ribosomal RNA". It matches the Rfam family "Bacterial small subunit ribosomal RNA", at positions 28 to 507 of the family's 1533-position model. The record is from RNAcentral.
GAUGAACGCUGGCGGCGUGCCUAAUACAUGCAAGUCGAGCGAACAGACGAGGAGCUUGCUCCUCUGACGUUAGCGGCGGACGGGUGAGUAACACGUGGAUAACCUACCUAUAAGACUGGGAUAACUUCGGGAAACCGGAGCUAAUACCGGAUAAUAUAUUGAACCGCAUGGUUCAAUAGUGAAAGACGGUUUUGCCGUCACUUAUAGAUGGAUCCGCGCCGCAUUAGCUAGUUGGUAAGGUAACGGCUUACCAAGGCAACGAUGCGUAGCCGACCUGAGAGGAUGAUCGGCCACACUGGAACUGAGACACGGUCCAGACUCCUACGGGAGGCAGCAGUAGGGAAUCUUCCGCAAUGGGCGAAAGCCUGACGGAGCAACGCCGCGUGAGUGAUGAAGGUCUUCGGAUCGUAAAACUCUGUUAUUAGGGAAGAACAAAUGUGUAAGUAACUAUGCACGUCUUGACGGUACCUAAUCAGAAAGCCACGGCUAACUACGUG